UAUGGUAAUUGUGUGCCAGCCUCCGCUUUACUACGUAGGUGGCAAGCGUUAUCCGGAAUUACUGGGUGUAAAGGGUGCGUAGGUGGUAUGGCAAGUCAGAAGUGAAAACCCAGGGCUUAACUCUGGGACUGCUUUUGAAACUGUCAGACUGGAGUGCAGGAGAGGUAAGCGGAAUUCCUAGUGUAGCGGUGAAAUGCGUAGAUAUUAGGAGGAACAUCAGUGGCGAAGGCGGCUUACUGGACUGAAACUGACACUGAGGCACGAAAGCGUGGGGAGCAAACAGG
This 284-nucleotide ribosomal RNA is filed under the name Anaerostipes hadrus ATCC 29173 = JCM 17467. RNAcentral's name for it is "Anaerostipes hadrus DSM 3319 partial 16S ribosomal RNA". It matches the Rfam family "Bacterial small subunit ribosomal RNA", at positions 492 to 776 of the family's 1533-position model. The record is from RNAcentral. Lineage: Bacteria; Bacillati; Bacillota; Clostridia; Lachnospirales; Lachnospiraceae.